CCUACGGGUGGCUGCAGUCGAGAAUCAUUCACAAUGGGCGAAACCCUGAUGGUGCGACGCCGCGUGGGGGAAUGAAGGUCUUCGGAUUGUAAACCCCUGUCAUGUGGGAGCAAAUUAAAAAGACUGUACCACAAGAGGCAGCGACCGCUAACUCAGUGCCAGCAGCCGCGGUAAUACAGAGGUCUCAAUCGUUGUUCGGAGUCAGUGGGCGGAAAGCGUGCGUCGGCGGUUUAUUAGUUCGUGUGUGAAAGGCGCGGGCUCAACCUGCGGACGGCACAUGAUACUGCGAGACUAGAGUAAGGUAGGGGGAACUGGAAUUUUUGGUGUAGGAGUGAAAUGCGUAGAGAUCGGAAGGAACACUCGUGGCGAAGGCGGGUUCCUGGA
Molecule: ribosomal RNA, 384 nt
Filed under: uncultured bacterium
Lineage: Bacteria
Description: partial 16S ribosomal RNA
Rfam family: Bacterial small subunit ribosomal RNA
Source: RNAcentral